UACAGAGGGGGCAAGCGUUGUUCGGAAUUACUGGGCGUAAAGGGCGCGUAGGCGGCCUGCUAAGUCGAACGUGAAAUCCCUGGGCUCAACCCAGGAACUGCGUCCGAUACUGGUUGGCUUGAAUCCGGGAGAGGGACGUGGAAUUCCAGGUGUAGCGGUGAAAUGCGUAGAUAUCAGGAGGAACACCAAUGGCGAAGGCAGCACUCUGGGACGUGACUGACGCUGAGGCGCGACAGCGUGGGGAGCAAACAGG
RNAcentral lists this ribosomal RNA (253 nucleotides) under uncultured bacterium. RNAcentral describes it as "partial 16S ribosomal RNA". It matches the Rfam family "Bacterial small subunit ribosomal RNA", at positions 524 to 776 of the family's 1533-position model. The record is from RNAcentral.